GAUGAACGCUGGCGGCGUGCCUAAUACAUGCAAGUCGAACGAAGCUUCUUUAUCACCGAGUGCUUGCACUCACCGAUAAAGAGUUGAGUGGCGAACGGGUGAGUAACACGUGGGCAACCUGCCCAAAAGAGGGGGAUAACACUUGGAAACAGGUGCUAAUACCGCAUAACCAUAGUUACCGCAUGGUAACUAUGUAAAAGGUGGCUAUACUACCGCUUUUGGAUGGGCCCGCGGCGCAUUAGCUAGUUGGUAGGGUAAAGGCUUACCAAGGCAAUGAUGCGUAGCCGAAGUGAGAGGUUGAUCGGCCACAUUGGGACUGAGACACGGCCCAAACUCCUACGGGAGGCAGCAGUAGGGAAUCUUCCACAAUGGGCGAAAGCCUGAUGGAGCAACGCCGCGUGGGUGAAGAAGGUCUUCGGAUCGUAAAACCCUGUUGUUAGAGAAGAAAGUGCGUGAGAGUAACUGUUCACGUUUCGACGGUAUCUAACCAGAAAGCCACGGCUAACUACGUG
This 512-nucleotide ribosomal RNA is filed under the name uncultured bacterium. Its description in RNAcentral is "partial 16S ribosomal RNA". It matches the Rfam family "Bacterial small subunit ribosomal RNA", at positions 28 to 507 of the family's 1533-position model. The record is from RNAcentral.